This 3738-nucleotide long non-coding RNA is filed under the name Homo sapiens (human). RNAcentral's name for it is "HSALNT0360466". The record is from RNAcentral. Lineage: Eukaryota; Metazoa; Chordata; Mammalia; Primates; Hominidae.
UUCCACCAUGAUUGUGAGGCCUCCCCAGCCAUAUGGAACUGUGCCUCACUCUAGUCCUGACCCUGUUACCACCAAAAUAUCCCCACUGAGGAACUUCUAGUGAAUAUAUUUCAAGAAGAAGGGAACUAACCCCAGGAAGAAGACUGAAAGCUUCAUGAGGAUAAACUGAGACUCUUCGCUAUUGAAAUUCUAUUGCCAGGCGCAUCCCCCAGCCCACAGUGAAUGGAAUUGGAUUAUUCUGAAGCACAAUCAGUAUUCCAAGUACAUGGUUUCUGUAAUGGGAUAAUUGGCUGCCCCUGGUCCUAGACAACACCUGAAGUUUAAUUUCUCUGAAAGGCUCUGCCUUGAGCUUGCUUUAAAACCUGCAAUUAUAAGGAGACACCUAAUGAGACCAGGAGGAAACUUCUACACCGCACAGCUAUUUUUAAAAAAUGGGAUUAACAGGAGAAAAUGUCAAACAGGGGGAUCUCCAUGUUUCUGCAAUGCAUGACAGGUUACCCAGCGUUCCAAAUAAGCAUGCUGUCCUUAGCACACAUCUGGUGGGCUGCAUUCCUGGGGUCCCUGGGCUGUCUGACCUUGCCUGAGAUGUGUGACUGGAUCUCAUCUGGCUGGGGGUCCUCUGGCUGGUGCUCCCAAGCCUGGAAUGCCUCCUGGUCACGGUCAACAGAGAAGUGCUCCAGGAAAGGUCACGGAGUUUGGAGGCAGAGCUCUGACCCCAACCCCUACACGGCAGCAUUUCCAAGAGAGGUUUGUUUUCCUCCCCAAGCACAUUAUGGGUAAUGACUUGGAUUGUGGAAAUUGCAAACAGCAUGUGUCAUAAUGAAUAUUUUGACUUGGAACACAGCAUUCUCUGUGAAUCCUAAUGUCUGCAGAAACUCAAGGGGUGACAGAAAAAUCUAUCAUGAAAGUACCAUUCACACAGUGUAGCUAUCAAUGGGAAUUUAAUUAAAGAAACAUUUAUUUAGUGCCUGCUGUGUACCUAGCACCAUGCUGAGCACUUAGGAUAUGAGGAGGAGGAUGGGGGUAGGAGAAGAGACAGAAUCAAUAUGUAAGUUUAUGAGUAAACACAGGUGCUUCUGCACAGAACAGUGCAGAAGUAGAACAAUGACCAAUGUGGUAGAAGCCGAUUGGGACUCAGGACCUAGUGUUUCCAAGAUGAAUCAGCAAACACCCCGAUCCAGUGGCUCAUUUCUAAUCAGUCUGCCUCCAUUAAUUACGAUCCCCACGGCUCACUGUCUUCUUGGCUGAAGCAAACCCCCAAGAGUGUAACUGCUCUAACCGAAUAACUGUACUCCCCUACUUCUGGGAGGGCAAAACCAAGAAGGUGAGGGCAUGUGGGGAGGAGGAUAGGGGUGGGAGAGAGGACAGAGAGAAUCAAUACAUAAGUAAACCCAGUGGCCUCUGCACAGAACUGAGGAUAAAAGUAUUUGCAUUUUAUAGGGCUUCUGUAUGUGUGUUGCGUUUGACCCUCACAAACAACCAAAGUAGCUAUUACUGUUUCCUUUAUACAGUUGAGAAAACUGACAUUCAGAGAGGAGAGGUACAUUGUCAAGGUUCACACAGCCAGCAAACCUCCAAACCAGGGCGGAACGAGGUUUUCUGUCUGCAGCCCUGCAGGCUGCAUGCUCCAGCAGGGAGCUCCAAACUUCCUCCAUGGUUCCCGCAGGGUCCUUCCCCAUCCCGCCUGCCCAGGGCUCCUCCUCUUUCCUGGGGAGAGCUCACUGCAAAGUCAGUGUCAUCUCACGUGUUGAGGAAGUGACUGCCCCCUCUUCUACCCAUCAGACAUGAGAGCACUUGUUUGUUAUCUGAUAACUGAUUUCACUCCCAUCCCUUCAUGUCAAUAACUUCACACAAAACGCCCUACAGCUGCUGAAAGCACUGAGUGCAAGAAGGCCAGGUGAACUGGGGGAAAUAACGUCCUGCUCACAUACUCCUUAAAUUUCUAUGCUAGCUACUCAAGUUUUAUGGAGUUAAUUUAAGACGUAUACCCUGCAUUCAUUCAAAAGGUUUGACAUAGCGAGUUUGGAUGCACGACAAAUUGAUAUUCAAGGAUGAAACAGAAUAAACAUCACCUAAAAGCAAGGGGCCCAUGAGCUGAUUUCUAUCAUCUAAUGCUAAGCUUUUUGAAAGCCAAGGAAAGUUUUUGAAAUGUCAUCUUCCAAUGAAAGAAGAAAUGCAAACUCAUGUCUUGGAAUAGGGACUAAACUCAAGCCUGGACUCAUCACAAGGGUCUUUGGAUAAAAACUGAUCUAUAACCCAAGGGGCCACAGCUUGGAGUGCAUGGACACCCCUUUUAUCCCAUCCCCCACAGGGUGCCCCACUUCUCCGCAGACAGUCACACGGCAGGAAGGAGUUUCUCACCUGAGACCUUGGUGACACCAACUCCACAAGAGAAAGCAGAGCCCAGAGCAAAACAGGGAGCUGGGUCCAAGUGUGUGAUCCAAGGAGGAGACAGAAGCAGAUUGCAGCCCUAGAAGUGGAGAGGCAGGGGGCUGGGAGCGGGAGCUGUCGGUGAGGAGGGCACACUGGGCAAGGUGGAAGGGCUGAGCUGCGGGACGCAUCAGAUUCCAUGGACCACUGUGGUGACGUGAUGGGCAGGGAGCUAAACUGAAACUCAGAGGUGCAUUUCUACUAAGACCGGGGUGCAGAAUCCCCUGGUGAUUGAGUCAGAGUGAAGACAGAUUCUGGAGAACACAGACGCUGUCCUGCGCUGCACUCACCCCACUUACGUGUGGGCUGAGUCCUAAGGCCAUUGAUCCAGGCCAAAGCCCUGCCCAGCUUUACUCCUUGGGGCUUGAGACGACAAAGUCCAGCCCUGUGACCUGGUUGCCAUCUCUCAUAGCCACUGAAGGGCAGGAUAAGGGUGGGGGUCAGGGAUGGGAAGUCCCACCCACAUGCUCCUGUCCCAAGCCUCAGGGCACACUCCACUUGGCCCCCAGCUCAGCUAAGACUAAAUUCUGGCUCCCGCCCCAGCCACCCAUCCUUAGUUUUAGAUGUAACCAACAAAAAGAAGUGAAUCAAGUGUCUUGAACCAGAUGCUCUCCCCGAGCUCUUCCCUCCCUCUGCCCACAGCUCAGGAUCUCUUCCUAGGCUAUACUUGGGAAUGGCUCAGUGCCAUGGGCCCCAAACCUGGCUGCACACUGGAGCUAUCUGGGCUGCUCAUUGAUGGUGCAGAUGCUAGGCCCCUCUACAGAGCUGCUGAUUCUGUAGCGUCAGGCCUGAUGCCAGCAGACAUGUUUUGAGUGAGCAAUCCAGGUGAUUCUAAUACAUGGUCAGGCUGGGGAAUCACGUAUCCAAGGGCUAAUGUGCGGUUUCACCACCUACCAGCUGGUGGUGUUAGCAGGAGCCUCUACUCUUUGCCCGGCCACAUUUUUCCUGUUUAUAAAAGUGCCCUGGAUAAUGUCUGAGGUCUGAGCUGCCUCUAACCACCUGUUUGUCCCCAGGGUGGCCUCACUGGUGCCUGUGGCCCUCCUUUCUUCACAUUCCCCUGGGAGCUGGUCUGAGGGGAGGAGAGGGCAGAAGCCCAGGGCUGGCAGGGCACCAGCACAUCCCCGACCUCCUGGAGACCUCGGCCAGGUCCCUUCCCCUCUCUGGGCCUCGGUUCAGGGUAAACCUGUGGGGAGGUCAGCAGGUAACCACCCCUUUGUCUUUCCUUUUCUGGGGGAUGUUUUUCUGGGCAGAGAGCAAAGCACCCUGAAGCAAAGCCCAGAACCCUGGGUGGGAGUUCACCCUUGUGGC